GAUGAACGCUAGCGGCAGGCUUAACACAUGCAAGUCGAGGGGUAGGAGAAGCUUGCUUUUCUGAGACCGGCGCACGGGUGCGUAACGCGUAUGCAAUCUACCUUUCACAGAGGGGUAGCCCAGAGAAAUUUGGAUUAAUACCUCAUAGUAUAAUUGAAUGGCAUCAUUUAAUUAUUAAAGAUUUAUCGGUGAAAGAUGAGCAUGCGUCCCAUUAGCUAGUUGGUAUGGUAACGGCAUACCAAGGCAACGAUGGGUAGGGGUCCUGAGAGGGAGAUCCCCCACACUGGUACUGAGACACGGACCAGACUCCUACGGGAGGCAGCAGUGAGGAAUAUUGGACAAUGGGCGCAAGCCUGAUCCAGCCAUGCCGCGUGCAGGAUGACGGUCCUAUGGAUUGUAAACUGCUUUUAUACAGGAAGAAACACUCCCUCGUGAGGGAGCUUGACGGUACUGUAAGAAUAAGGAUCGGCUAACUCCGUGCCAGCAGCCGCGGUAAUACGGAGGAUCCAAGCGUUAUCCGGAAUCAUUGGGUUUAAAGGGUCCGUAGGCGGUCAGGUAAGUCAGUGGUGAAAGCCCAUCGCUCAACGGUGGAACGGCCAUUGAUACUGUCUGACUUGAAUUAUUAGGAAGUAGCUAGAAUAUGUAGUGUAGCGGUGAAAUGCUUAGAGAUUACAUGGAAUACCAAUUGCGAAGGCAGGUUACUACUAAUUGACUGACGCUGAUGGACGAAAGCGUGGGUAGCGAACAGGAUUAGAUACCCUGGUAGUCCACGCCGUAAACGAUGGAUACUAGCUGUUGGGAGCAAUCUCAGUGGCUAAGCGAAAGUGAUAAGUAUCCCACCUGGGGAGUACGAACGCAAGUUUGAAACUCAAAGGAAUUGACGGGGGCCCGCACAGGCGGUGGAGCAUGUGGUUUAAUUCGAUGAUACGCGAGGAACCUUACCAAGGCUUAAAUGUAGUUUGACCGGUUGGAAACAG
Molecule: ribosomal RNA, 977 nt
Filed under: uncultured bacterium
Lineage: Bacteria
Description: bacterial SSU rRNA
Rfam family: Bacterial small subunit ribosomal RNA
Source: RNAcentral